UGUGAUGUUUCCUCCAGAGAGCCACUGC
RNAcentral lists this non-coding RNA (28 nucleotides) under Rattus norvegicus (Norway rat). The record is from RNAcentral. Lineage: Eukaryota; Metazoa; Chordata; Mammalia; Rodentia; Muridae.